UUAGUCAAUGCUCGCAAGAGUGAACUAGCUAACUGAAUUCAUACUUGUGUCAAGUGUGAUAACGUAAGGGAAGAUAAUGACAUUACCUUACUAUUAGUGUUGUCCAAAACUGGUGCCAGAAGACUCGGUAAGGCCAGAGACGCGAACGUUAAUCGUCCUAAUCAGGCGUAAAGGGUGUGUAGGCAGCUUUAAAAUUUUUCUUUAUUACUUAAAUUCUUUUUAUAUUAUAUUUAAAAAUCUAAAUUUAUUUAAUGUAGACUAAUUAAGAAUAAAUUGAUAAUGAUAAAUUAUUUAAUUAUUAAAAAUUAAUUAAAGUAGAGAUAAAAUAAAUAAAAGCUAGAAUCAAAUAGAGGAUAUUUAAAUAAUACUUAGAGGAGGGGUGAUAUCCUUAGAUACUAAGUAGAAUAUUAAUGGUGAAAGCUUUUAUCUACUAAUGAUUGACGCUGAGAAACGAAGGUGAGGAUAGGAAAUAGGAUUAGAUACCCAGAUACCCCUCUCUGUCAACGAUGAAUGGUGGUUGCUAAUUAUAUAAAUUAAUUGGUGGCGAUGUUAACACGAUAACCAUUCCGCCAUGUGAGUACGACUGCAAAGUUGAAAACAAAAAAAUUAGUCGGUCUCGAAGCAAACGAAGUGAAGCAUGUUAUUUAAU
RNAcentral lists this ribosomal RNA (649 nucleotides) under Pseudotomentella sp. RNAcentral's name for it is "SSU rRNA". It matches the Rfam family "Bacterial small subunit ribosomal RNA", at positions 364 to 950 of the family's 1533-position model. The record is from RNAcentral. Lineage: Eukaryota; Fungi; Basidiomycota; Agaricomycetes; Thelephorales; Thelephoraceae.